ACUCAAAUGAAUUGACGGGGGCCCGCACAAGCGGCGGAGCAUGUUGCUUAAUUCGACGCAACGCGAAGAACCUUACCAGGGUUUGACAUGCACGGUUGAGCCAUGGAGACAUGGUGUCCUUCGGGGCCGUGUGCAGGUGGUGCAUGGCUGUCGUCAGCUCGUGUCGUGAGAUGUUGGGUUAAGUCCCGCAACGAGCGCAACCCUUGCCCUAUGUUGCCAGCGGCGCCUUCGGGUGGCCGGGAACUCAUGGGGGACUGCCGGGGUCAACUCGGAGGAAGGUGGGGAUGACGUCAAGUCAUCAUGCCCCUUAUGUCCUGGGCUGCAAACAUGCUACAAUGGCCGGUACAGCGGGCUGCGAUACCGUGAGGUGGAGCGAAUCCCGAAAAGCCGGUCUCAGUUCGGAUCGGAGUCUGCAACUCGACUUCGUGAAGUUGGAGUCGCUAGUAAUCGCGAAUCAGCAAUGUCGCGGUGAAUACGUUCCCGGGCCUUGUACACACCGCCCGU
RNAcentral lists this ribosomal RNA (504 nucleotides) under uncultured bacterium. RNAcentral describes it as "bacterial SSU rRNA". It matches the Rfam family "Bacterial small subunit ribosomal RNA", at positions 899 to 1397 of the family's 1533-position model. The record is from RNAcentral.